GGCGCGGUAGCCAAGCGGUAAGGCAGAGGUCUGCAAAACCUUUAUUCGGCGGUUCGAUUCCGCCCCGCGCCUCCA
Molecule: transfer RNA, 75 nt
Filed under: Edaphobacter sp.
Lineage: Bacteria; Pseudomonadati; Acidobacteriota; Terriglobia; Terriglobales; Acidobacteriaceae
Also listed under: 4 other names
Description: tRNA-Cys
Rfam family: tRNA
About the family: Transfer RNA (tRNA) molecules are approximately 80 nucleotides in length. Their secondary structure includes four short double-helical elements and three loops (D, anti-codon, and T loops). Further hydrogen bonds mediate the characteristic L-shaped molecular structure. tRNAs have two regions of fundamental functional importance: the anti-codon, which is responsible for specific mRNA codon recognition, and the 3' end, to which the tRNAs corresponding amino acid is attached (by aminoacyl-tRNA synthetases). tRNAs cope with the degeneracy of the genetic code in two manners: having more than one tRNA (with a specific anti-codon) for a particular amino acid; and 'wobble' base-pairing, i.e. permitting non-standard base-pairing at the 3rd anti-codon position.
Source: RNAcentral